Molecule: long non-coding RNA, 319 nt
Filed under: Brassica napus (rape)
Lineage: Eukaryota; Viridiplantae; Streptophyta; Magnoliopsida; Brassicales; Brassicaceae
Description: long non-coding RNA (BNAP_LNC009290)
Source: RNAcentral
UAAGAGCAAGUAUAUAAGGAGUCCUAGGCGAGAGGCAAAAGGGGAUCAGAGACACAGCAAAAGUUAGCACUUAGAGCAAUUUAGGCAAUUUUCUGUUUUUCUUAUUCGAGCUGUGACUCAAUUAGGUUUAGCAGCUUUAGGGUUUUAGAACUAGGAAUCUCGCUGACAGCUAUCGUAGCCCAGGCUCUUACUUAGUUGUAACGCUCAAACACGAAUUCGGAAUAAGAUCUACUUUGCUCUCUUUUCGAUUUCUUAUCUUAUAUCGUCUUUAUUUCAUGUUAUGAUUGCUUGGCGUGUGGUAUUAGCAGAUAUCCGGGAC